AAAUGAUUGAAGUCAGUCGUACCAUGAGUAAUCAGCCUUUUGUGUGCAAUUAUAUGGGUGCCGAGGAGCUUAACUGCCUUCACGCCUGUAUAUUUGUUCGCUUUGGGUGUAUUUGCUUGCAUGUAGGUUAACAUCAAUUUUGGUCAUCAUAAAACAACGAGAGGAAUGUAGCUUUGAUCUCAUAUUGAAGUGUUAUAGCCUCUGGUAGAUGUGAUGAUUGGGAUUGAGGAUUGCAACGAACCCUUAGUGGUUACUUGCCUGGCCUCUGAUGGUCGCUCUGGUGCCGAAAGCUUGCUUACGGUUAUCGAAGUUGGUCGUCAAAAGGUUAGAACGAGCUAAAUUCGUUAAGGAUGUUGACAUAAUGGCUUUAAACGA
This 375-nucleotide ribosomal RNA is filed under the name Glomeraceae sp. Its description in RNAcentral is "LSU rRNA". The record is from RNAcentral. Lineage: Eukaryota; Fungi; Glomeromycota; Glomeromycetes; Glomerales; Glomeraceae.